This 902-nucleotide long non-coding RNA is filed under the name Oryctolagus cuniculus (rabbit). Its description in RNAcentral is "lncRNA (ENSOCUG00000032999.1)". The record is from RNAcentral. Lineage: Eukaryota; Metazoa; Chordata; Mammalia; Lagomorpha; Leporidae.
AACAUAUGGGCACGAUCUGCGCCGCGGAGGGACCCGGCUUGCGACGCUUGCUGCCCGCUGCCCGCUGCCCGCGGCUGCGCCCCCGACCGAGCCUGCAGGCGCACAGGUGCCCAGCGUCCGUCCGAGCACGGGGCCGACCCUUGAAGUCGCCGGCCGGCCUCACCGGGGACACAGGGCUUCUCCUCUGCAGACCACAGCUGGCACCCGGCCCCUGUACUCCACCACAGACCCAGCGGCACCCUUGGGAGAACCUAGCGCACUCGACAACUACACCUCCUGUGUAUCGUGAAAUCCCCCUGGGGGAAACAUCGGUACUCAGACGCCCACAGUACUCGUCCUGGAACACGGGUGCCUGCCCCUCCUCUUCCUUCUUCACCGGGAGCUUCGAGCAAGGCCCUGGGAACAGAAGAGGUGUGCAACUGUCCAAGAGGCAUGCAACCAUCCAAGAGGCGUGCAACCAUCCAAGAGGUGUGCAACCAUCCAAGAGGCGUGCAACCAUCCAAGAGGCAUGCAAUCGUCCAAGAGGCGUGCAAUCAUCCAAGAGGUGUGCAAUCAUCCAAGAGGCGUGCAACCAUCCAAGAGGCGUGCAACCGUCCAAGAGGUGUGCAACCAUCCAAGAGGCAUGCAACCGUCCAAGAGGCGUGCAAUCAUCCAAGAGGUGUGCAACCAUCCAAGAGGCGGGCAACCGUCCAAGAGGUGUGCAACCAUCCAAGAGGUGUGCAAUCAUCCAAGAGGCGGGCAACCACCCAAGAAGCGUGCAACUGUCCAAGAGGCGUGCAACCAUCCAAGAAGCGUGCAACCAUCCAAGAAGCGUGCAACUGUCCAAGAGGCGUGCAACCAUCCUGUCUGACAAGAACGCUGUGCAGGUGAAAGGCCAAGACAUCACUAGUGCCACAUCCUGA